Molecule: ribosomal RNA, 772 nt
Filed under: uncultured bacterium
Lineage: Bacteria
Description: bacterial SSU rRNA
Rfam family: Bacterial small subunit ribosomal RNA
Source: RNAcentral
AGAGUUUGAUCCUGGCUCAGGACGAACGCUGGCGGCGUGCUUAACACAUGCAAGUCGAGCGGAAAGGCCCUUCGGGGUACUCGAGCGGCGAACGGGUGAGUAACACGUGAGCAACCUGCCCUUAGCUUUGGGAUAACCCUCGGAAACGGGGGCUAAUACCGAAUGUUCACUACUUGUCGCAUGGUGGGUGGUGGAAAGUUUUUCGGCUAGGGAUGGGCUCGCGGCCUAUCAGCUUGUUGGUGGGGUGAUGGCCUACCAAGGCGACGACGGGUAGCCGGCCUGAGAGGGCGACCGGCCACACUGGGACUGAGACACGGCCCAGACUCCUACGGGAGGCAGCAGUGGGGAAUAUUGCACAAUGGGCGAAAGCCUGAUGCAGCGACGCCGCGUGAGGGAUGACGGCCUUCGGGUUGUAAACCUCUUUCAGCUCCGACGAAGCGAAAGUGACGGUAGGGGCAGAAGAAGCGCCGGCCAACUACGUGCCAGCAGCCGCGGUAAGACGUAGGGCGCGAGCGUUGUCCGGAUUUAUUGGGCGUAAAGAGCUCGUAGGCGGCUUGUCGCGUCGACUGUGAAAACCCGUGGCUCAACCAUGUGGUCUGCAGUCGAUACGGGCAGGCUAGAAUUCGGUAGGGGAGACUGGAAUUCCUGGUGUAGCGGUGAAAUGCGCAGAUAUCAGGAGGAACACCGGUGGCGAAGGCGGGUCUCUGGGCCGAUAUUGACGCUGAGGAGCGAAAGCGUGGGGAGCGAACAGGAUUAGAUACCCUAGUAGUCC